RNAcentral lists this ribosomal RNA (252 nucleotides) under uncultured bacterium. RNAcentral's name for it is "partial 16S ribosomal RNA". It matches the Rfam family "Bacterial small subunit ribosomal RNA", at positions 524 to 776 of the family's 1533-position model. The record is from RNAcentral.
UACAGAGGGGGCAAGCGUUAUUCGGAAUUAUUGGGCGUAAAGGGCGCGUAGGCGGCCGUGCAAGUGGAAGGUGAAAUCCCUCGGCUCAACCGAGGAACUGCCUUUCAAACUGCAUGGCUUGAGUCCGGGAGAGGUGAGUGGAAUUCCCAGUGUAGCGGUGAAAUGCGUAGAUAUUGGGAGGAACACCUGCGGCGAAGGCGGGUUGCUGGGCUGAUACUGACGCUGAGGCGCGAAAGCUAGGGAGCGAACGGG